ACCUAUCUUGUUUCCCUAUUGGCCAACAGUGCUUUAUUUAUCAACCAAUAAGACAACAUAUACACAGAAGAACUUCCCCCAUCAGGAGAGUCAUCUCUUUCAAGUUGUCUGGAGGAGGCUCUGACCUGAUGGGCUUCUUUGAAAUUGUGCAGUCACCAUCUGGAAAAAUUAUACCUGCUCAGCAGAGCGGAUGGAAAACGCUACAAACUUCCUCAAUGGGCUGGAUAUGGCACAUGUUCUCUUGAACUAAGAGAAUCUUACAUACAAGGAAGUUUUGCCUUUGUCUGUAGGAUUUCAUGCAGAGCCAACAUUCUGUGGUAACUUUAUCUUCCCCAGGGCUGCUCUCAGUUAAAGAGUAAGUUCUUUCUGGGCAGAGGCCCUUCAAGAGGACUGAGUAACUGGCCUCAAGGUGUGCAUUCAAAACCAUCAGAGGCCCUCUGAAGGUAGUUCUCAACUGAGGAAUAGUGCAAGAUAAAAACACACCGCUGUGGCCUGGAGAGAGUUGGAAAAGUGCUUGCCUUUCCUAAAAAUGCCAGGGACAUCACUGUUGAGAGACGCAUCCGAGUUCAUCCCUGCUGUCUGCCAAGAAGCCCAGCAAAAAGCAGGGCUCUUUCCAAAAAAUCAAGACCAAGACUUCUGUCAGAGAACCAAAGUGUCCCCCAGUGUCAGGCAGUAACACAUCCACUCCUUAGGAAGGAGUCAGUUUCUGGAGUAAAUUCGCGCAGUGCCUGCGGAGGCCAGAAGAGGGCGUAUGAUUCCUGGAAACUGGAGUUUCAGGUGGUUGUGAGCUCACCGGUAUGAGUACUGGUCCUCUGCCAAGAGCAAGUGUUCUUAACCGCUGAGCCAUCUCUCCUGCCCUAACUGCACACUUACAGGUGAUACCAUCUGUCACAACAUCAGAAGGUCGUACGGCCCUGCCGGGCAUUUUUGCUAGGUGUAGAUACACCAGGAUCAAGAUAACCGUGGCAUUAUCAUGAUCCAUCUCAUAUUGAAGUGAUAGUUAUACAAGAAAAUUAAAUGCAGUGCACAAAAUGACCAAGCACACAGGCAGACGUGGUUCCUUCUUCAAGAGACUGCAUGACGGGUAAUUAGAUAAACAGGGUAAUUUAAUAAUAGUUCUGAGAAACCACAAGGAAUCUCAAAACUGAAGGUAAAUUUCACACAUUCUUAAUGCAAAAAGUAAUGAAUACACAGCAACAGAUGUUAGUUAGCUUUUAAUCAAAAUGCAAUGCAGACCUAUAACAAAAUAGCAUAUGUAUCACAUAAGUAUAAACAAUGAUUUGUUAAUUAUGAAUGAUUUUUUUCCAACUUAAAAAACAUGUUAAAAAUUUCA
Mesocricetus auratus (golden hamster) is the source of this 1333-nucleotide long non-coding RNA. RefSeq lists it as uncharacterized. The record is from RefSeq and is a predicted model, not a curated record. The transcript has 2 exons. NCBI's taxonomy places the organism in Eukaryota, Metazoa, Chordata, Mammalia, Rodentia, Cricetidae.